Phascolarctos cinereus (koala) is the source of this 460-nucleotide non-coding RNA. NCBI's taxonomy places the organism in Eukaryota, Metazoa, Chordata, Mammalia, Diprotodontia, Phascolarctidae. The record is from RefSeq and is a predicted model, not a curated record.
ACUCUGGGAAGAGUAGUGUGCUGAGUUUCCUUGCCAGUGCCGAACUUGAGAGAGAAUUACCAUAAUAAGCUAGCUUCCCGUUCCAUGUAAUCCUGUGGGAUGGUUGAAAUGAGAGAACAGAAAUCUAGCGCUUCGCCUUCCAAGAGCCGACAUUUGCCGAAGGGCAGCAACAAGAGAGGUGGCGAAUUUUAGCAGGGGAGCCCAGUUCAUUACCUCUCACAAGGGUGGAGCCUUGUGACUUCAUUUUCUUUCAUCAGGGGCAGCAAGCUUAUAAAUAUACCCACUGGUUAAUGGACUCCAAGCUAAGAACUCCUGGACUAGAAGUAUCCACAUUCAAAUCAACCACACAAUCAGAAUUUAUUAAGGAUUGUGUCUGAAGCAUACACCAAGCAGAGUGGACAGCCAUGUGGCAUAAUAGAUAGAGCACUGAGCCUGGAGUCAAGAAGAUUCUUGAGUUCAA